Molecule: transfer RNA, 62 nt
Filed under: Semelidae sp. STW-2017
Lineage: Eukaryota; Metazoa; Mollusca; Bivalvia; Cardiida; Semelidae
Description: tRNA-Cys
Source: RNAcentral
AGUUAUGUAGUUUAUUAAAACAUCAAGUUGCAGCCUUGAAGAAGAGAUCACCUCCUUAACUU